RNAcentral lists this ribosomal RNA (1043 nucleotides) under uncultured archaeon. RNAcentral describes it as "bacterial SSU rRNA". It matches the Rfam family "Archaeal small subunit ribosomal RNA", at positions 1 to 1054 of the family's 1478-position model. The record is from RNAcentral.
UCUGGUUGAUCCUGCCGGAGGCCACUGCUAUCGGAGUUCGAUUAAGCCAUGCGAGUCGAGAGGUGUAAGACCUCGGCAUACUGCUCAGUAACACGUGGACAACCUACCCUGAGGAGGGGGAUAACCCCGGGAAACUGGGGAUAAUACCCCAUAGACUAUGGAUGCUGGAAUGCUCUGUAGUUGAAAGGUCCGCCGCCUCAGGAUGGGUCUGCGGCCGAUUAGGUUGUUGUUGGGGUAACGGCCCAACAAGCCUGUAAUCGGUACGGGUUGUGGGAGCAAGAGCCCGGAGAUGGAUUCUGAGACACGAAUCCAGGCCCUACGGGGCGCAGCAGGCGCGAAAACUUUACAAUGCGAGCAAUCGUGAUAAGGGAACUCCGAGUGCCCGUAAAAUCGGGCUGUCCGCCAGUGUAAAUAACUGGUGAAGAAAGGGCCGGGCAAGACCGGUGCCAGCCGCCGCGGUAAUACCGGCGGCUCGAGUGGUGGCCACUAUUACUGGGCUUAAAGCGUUCGUAGCUGGUCUGUUAAGUCUCUGGGGAAAUCUUCCGGCUUAACCGGAAGGCGUCUCAGGGAUACUGACAGACUAGGGACCGGAAGAGGUGAGAGGUACUCCAGGGGUAGGAGUGAAAUCCUGUAAUCCUUGGGGGACCACCUGUGGCGAAGGCGUCUCACCAGGACGGCUCCGACAGUGAGGAACGAAAGCUGGGGGAGCAAACCGGAUUAGAUACCCGGGUAGUCCCAGCUGUAAACGAUGCGCGUUAGGUGUAUCGGUGACCACGAGUCACCGAGGUGCCGAAGAGAAAUCGUGAAACGCGCCGCCUGGGAAGUACGGUCGCAAGGCUGAAACUUAAAGGAAUUGGCGGGGGAGCACCACAACGGGUGGAGCCUGCGGUUUAAUCGGACUCAACGCCGGGAAACUCACCGGAUAAGACAGCUGAAUGAUUGCCGGGCUGAAGACUCUGCAUGACUAGCUGAGAGGAGGUGCAUGGCCGUCGUCAGUUCGUACUGUGAAGCAUCCUGUUAAGUCAGGCAACGAGCGAGACCCA